RNAcentral lists this ribosomal RNA (645 nucleotides) under uncultured archaeon. RNAcentral's name for it is "bacterial SSU rRNA". It matches the Rfam family "Archaeal small subunit ribosomal RNA", at positions 25 to 678 of the family's 1478-position model. The record is from RNAcentral.
CACUGCUAUCGGGGUUCGAUUAAGCCAUGCGAGCCGAGAGGGUUCAGACCCUCGGCGCACUGCUCAGUAACACGUGGAUAACCUACCCUGAGGAGGGGGAUAACCCCGGGAAACUGGGGAUAAUACCUCAUAGGUUUCAGAUGCUGGAAUGCUCUGAAACCGAAAUGCUCCGGCGCCUCAGGAUGGAUCUGCGGCCGAUUAGGUUGUUGUUGGGGUAACGGCCCAACAAGCCCGUCAUCGGUACGGGUUGUGAGAGCAAGAGCCCGGAGAUGGAUUCUGAGACACCAAUCCAGGCCCUACGGGGCGCAGCAGGCGCGAAACCUUUACAAUGCGAGCAAUCGUGAUAAGGGAACCCCGAGUGCCUGAAACCAGGCUGUUCAGGUGUUUAAAAAGCACCUGGAGAAAGGGCCGGGCAAGACCGGUGCCAGCCGCCGCGGUAAUACCGGCGGCUCGAGUGGUGGCCGCUAUUAUUGGGCUUAAAGCGUUCGUAGCUGGGUUGUUAAGUCUCUUGGGAAAUCUCACGGCUCAACCGUGAGGCGACUAAGAGAUACUGGCAAUCUUGGGACCGGGAGAGGUGAGAGGUACUCCAGGGGUAGGAGUGAAAUCUUGUGAUCCUCGGGGGACCACCAGUGGCGAAGGCGUCUC